GGUUAAGCGACUAAGCGUACACGGUGGAUGCCCUGGCAGUCAGAGGCGAUGAAGGACGUGCUAAUCUGCGAAAAGCGUCGGUAAGGUGAUAUGAACCGUUAUAACCGGCGAUGUCCGAAUGGGGAAACCCAGUGCAAUUCGUUGCACUAUCGUUAACUGAAUACAUAGGUUAACGAGGCGAACCGGGGGAACUGAAACAUCUAAGUACCCCGAGGAAAAGAAAUCAACCGAGAUUCCCCCCAGUAGCGGCGAGCGAACGGGGAGCAGCCCAGAGUCUGAAUCAGCUUGUGUGUUAGUGGAACGGUCUGGAAAGUCCGACGGUACAGGGUGAUAGUCCCGUACACCAAAAUGCACAGGCUGUGAACUCGAAGAGUAGGGCGGGACACGUGGUAUCCUGUCUGAAUAUGGGGGACCAUCCUCCAAGGCUAAAUACUCCUGACUGACCGAUAGUGAACCAGUACCGUGAGGGAAAGGCGAAAAGAACCCCGGCGAGGGGAGUGAAAAAGAACCUGAAACCGUGUACGUACAAGCAGUGGGAGCACCUUCGGGUGUGACUGCGUACCUUUGUAUAAUGGGUCAGCGACUUAUAUUCUGUAGCAAGGUUAACCGUAUAGGGGAGCCGCAGGGAAACCGAGUCUUAACUGGGCGUUAAGUUGCAGGGUAUAGACCCGAAACCCGGUGAUCUAGCCAUGGGCAGGUUGAAGGUUGGGUAACACUAACUGGAGGACCGAACCGACUAAUGUUGAAAAAUUAGCGGAUGACUUGUGGCUGGGGGUGAAAGGCCAAUCAAACCGGGAGAUAGCUGGUUCUCCCCGAAAGCUAUUUAGGUAGCGCCUCGUGAACUCAUCUUCGGGGGUAGAGCACUGUUUCGGCUAGGGGGUCAUCCCGACUUACCAACCCGAUGCAAACUACGAAUACCGAAGAAUGUUAUCACGGGAGACACACGGCGGGUGCUAACGUCCGUCGUGAAGAGGGAAACAACCCAGACCGCCAGCUAAGGUCCCAAAGUCAUGGUUAAGUGGGAAACGAUGUGGGAAGGCACAGACAGCCAGGAUGUUGGCUUAGAAGCAGCCAUCAUUUAAAGAAAGCGUAAUAGCUCACUGGUCGAGUCGGCCUGCGCGGAAGAUGUAACGGGGCUAAACCAUGCACCGAAGCUGCGGCAGCGACACUAUGUGUUGUUGGGUAGGGGAGCGUUCUGUAAGCCUGCGAAGGUGUGCUGUGAGGCAUGCUGGAGGUAUCAGAAGUGCGAAUGCUGACAUAAGUAACGAUAAAGCGGGUGAAAAGCCCGCUCGCCGGAAGACCAAGGGUUCCUGUCCAACGUUAAUCGGGGCAGGGUGAGUCGACCCCUAAGGCGAGGCCGAAAGGCGUAGUCGAUGGGAAACAGGUUAAUAUUCCUGUACUUGGUGUUACUGCGAAGGGGGGGACGGAGAAGGCUAUGUUAGCCGGGCGACGGUUGUCCCGGUUUAAGCAUGUAGGCUGAUUGUCCGAGGCAAAUCCGGAUAAUCAAGGCUGAGGUGUGAUGACGAGGCACUACGGUGCUGAAGUAACAAAUGCCCUGCUUCCAGGAAAAGCCUCUAAGCAUCAGGUAACAUUAAAUCGUACCCCAAACCGACACAGGUGGUCAGGUAGAGAAUACCAAGGCGCUUGAGAGAACUCGGGUGAAGGAACUAGGCAAAAUGGUGCCGUAACUUCGGGAGAAGGCACGCUGGUGUGUAGGUGAAGUCCCUGCGGAUGGAGCUGAGACCAGUCGAAGAUACCAGCUGGCUGCAACUGUUUAUUAAAAACACAGCACUGUGCAAACACGAAAGUGGACGUAUACGGUGUGACGCCUGCCCGGUGCCGGAAGGUUAAUUGAUGGGGUUAUCCGUAAGGAGAAGCUCUUGAUCGAAGCCCCGGUAAACGGCGGCCGUAACUAUAACGGUCCUAAGGUAGCGAAAUUCCUUGUCGGGUAAGUUCCGACCUGCACGAAUGGCGUAAUGAUGGCCAGGCUGUCUCCACCCGAGACUCAGUGAAAUUGAACUCGCUGUGAAGAUGCAGUGUACCCGCGGCAAGACGGAAAGACCCCGUGAACCUUUACUAUAGCUUGACACUGAACAUUGAGCCUUGAUGUGUAGGAUAGGUGGGAGGCUUUGAAGCGUGGACGCCAGUCUGCGUGGAGCCAACCUUGAAAUACCACCCUUUAAUGUUUGAUGUUCUAACGUUGGCCCCUGACCGGGGUUGCGGACAGUGUCUGGUGGGUAGUUUGACUGGGGCGGUCUCCUCCCAAAGCGUAACGGAGGAGCACGAAGGUUAGCUAAUCCUGGUCGGACAUCAGGAGGUUAGUGCAAUGGCAUAAGCUAGCUUGACUGCGAGCGUGACGGCGCGAGCAGGUGCGAAAAGCAGGUCAUAGUGAUCCGGUGGUUCUGAAUGGAAGGGCCAUCGCUCAACGGAUAAAAGGUACUCCGGGGAUAACAGGCUGAUACCGCCCAAGAGUUCAUAUCGACGGCGGUGUUUGGCACCUCGAUGUCGGCUCAUCACAUCCUGGGGCUGAAGUAGGUCCCAAGGGUAUGGCUGUUCGCCAUUUAAAGUGGUACGCGAGCUGGGUUUAGAACGUCGUGAGACAGUUCGGUCCCUAUCUGCCGUGGGCGCUGGAGAAUUGAGGGGGGCUGCUCCUAGUACGAGAGGACCGGAGUGGACGCAUCACUGGUGUUCGGGUUGUCAUGCCAAUGGCACUGCCCGGUAGCUAAAUGCGGAAGAGAUAAGUGCUGAAAGCAUCUAAGCACGAAACUUGCCCCGAGAUGAGUUCUCCCUGAGACUUUAAGUCUCCUGAAGGAACGUUAAAGACGAUGACGUUGAUAGGCCGGGUGUGUAAGCGCAGCGAUGCGUUGAGCUAACCGGUACUAAUGAACCGUGAGGCUUAACCUU
Molecule: ribosomal RNA, 2904 nt
Filed under: Klebsiella pneumoniae
Lineage: Bacteria; Pseudomonadati; Pseudomonadota; Gammaproteobacteria; Enterobacterales; Enterobacteriaceae
Description: 23S ribosomal RNA
Rfam family: Bacterial large subunit ribosomal RNA
Source: RNAcentral